Herpailurus yagouaroundi (jaguarundi) is the source of this 2976-nucleotide long non-coding RNA. RefSeq lists it as uncharacterized. The transcript has 2 exons. NCBI's taxonomy places the organism in Eukaryota, Metazoa, Chordata, Mammalia, Carnivora, Felidae. The record is from RefSeq and is a predicted model, not a curated record.
CCCCUGUUUGUGUUAGUACCUGUCUGUGAGUGUGGCAGCUGACGAGGGCAGGAGGGAGGCCGCUCUGUGUCUUCCCCCUUAUUUCAUGUGCUGCUGUUCCUGAGGCCUGGCUUGAAAAAAGGAGGACAUUCGGCUUAGACAGAUGGAGGGCAGGGUCAUUUUCAAAAUGUAAUGAGUGCACAAAUCACACUGUGAAAUUGGCAUGACCAUCACUGCUGCUGUGAUAGACUGACUUUUAUUUAGUUAUGAUGGGCAGUUGGGGAAUAGAUUAGGUUUUUGGAGGGGGGAGGGGCCGCAGUGAAAGAAGGCCCUUUAAUUAAUGAGAGAAAUUCUGGAAAGCAAUAAAUGGGGUGGAAUAUUAUAAAAUGUCAUAAAAGACCAUUUUGUUUCCAACAGAAUCUUGAAAACUGGAGCAUGUAUCAAAAAGUAAAUGUAUCGUACCAUUGCUAGCAAUAAGAAAGCAUUUGGUGGUUGCAAUAAAAUGAUUUAGUGCCUUAUUGAAAGAAACUAGGCUUUGAGAAAAUGGAGUUGGACUCGGUGGAUUUUGCUGCAAAGAGGAAGGCAUGUUCACCAUGUAGAAGAAUUCCAUUCAGGCAAAAUGUGUAGGAGCUAAAAGCAUGAUGUUUGGUUCUUCAUAUGCUUAUGUUUCUGCCUGCCAAAGCAUGAGAUGAUCAAAUCCUAUUCUAUUUGUACAUAUAAUCUGUCUGGCAUUCUCUUGUAAAACAGUUGGAAGGUAUGAUUUCUUAUUUAUCCUUUACGUGUGAUCAUGUCCUGUUGGUAAACCGGUCAUUUCUGAACAUCCCAACUACCACAGCUGUGGUCAGACAUCUUUCUUGAUAAAGGAAGACCUUCUGAAAAAACCACUUUUCAGUUGUUAUUUUUUUUCCCUUCUCAUUUCAGGCUAUUUUCUUCAGGAUGGCCAGUUUCAGGGGCUCAGUUACCUUGCUUCCUCUCAACAGUAAACAGGGAAAAAUAAUAAAUUAGUACCAAAUUGGUAAUGUAAUUGACUUUUAGAAGCAUCCCUUCCAUCUUUUAAUACUUUUGGAAAGGUUGUAUACCAAAUCAAUACUUGGGGAAUGUAUGCUCAGACAUUUAACCUCAUUAUGAACUCUCUUUUUGCUGGUGGUUUCAGCUCUAUUAUUUUCAUUAGAUUUCUUUCUUGGAUAUACCUUAUUUUUUUUAUCAAGUAGCUUAUAUUUAGGUGCUUACAGUGUUAGCACUGUUACCUAAACUUGUCAGGGAGAACACAAUAGCAUUAUAGUUUAUAAAUGGAGUUAGUAGGGAAGGCACAACUGUGGAUACUGGUAUUUGAAGAAAGCGAUCCGCCAUCCAAACAAAGAGCUACUCUAAGCCUUGUGUUUAUACAGUACUUUCUGUACCAGGACCAGGUCCUGCUUUGCCUAACUUCCCUCAUUAAUCCUCACAGCCCUUCUGUGAAUUAGGUUACUCUUAUUUUUGGCCCCACUGGAAAACCACGGACUGCAAAGCACAAAAGGAAGCCUGUGGUUGCAGCAGCCCGCCCGCGGGGGCUGGCGAUUGCUUAAGCUGGCCAGUAGGGGCCACACUGCACCUCUUCCCUCUCUCCCCCUGGGUACCUCCUCUCCAGUCCUUUGAAUUGGCUUUGGAUCAUUUGCUGCAGUUUGUUCUAACAGAACAGGCACAAUGGUGUAAGAAUUUUAAAGUUUAAGCACCGAAGCCGUUGUGUAAUUGUAUGGCGUCAGUGUGGCCGGCAGCCCUGCAUUGAUGCGAUCCCCCUGUGUAAUUGCCCAUGCAAAUUCGAGCGGUCUGUAAGGGACGCAGAAACCCGCGUUUGGCUACAGAUUCUUCUCCCCCAGAAAAUCUAAUAACUCGAAGAACCUUUUGUCAUCUUUAAAAUGCAUCAUGGACAGGGAUGUCUCAGUAUCCCUCUCAUAGGGGCAGACAUCACAGAUCAAGACUUUAAAUCACCCUUCACAAGAGAAAUAAAGAUUAUUCCAGAGGUUUAGUAAAACUUUAAGCAUUUUAUUAAAAACCAAGAUAGUUAGGUCUCUUAAAGCAGACUGUUUCAAACUCAUGAAUUAGUUGCCUGUGAAAUUGCUUGCAAUCCGUAAUGUAGUAUUACAAUGAAACAUCAGCCUGACAAAUCUGUACAAAGCCAGUGACUUCAAACAAUUCAGCUGAAGACAUAUUUCCCUCCUUUUGUGUAAAACAAUAGUAAUUAGGAAGCACAUCCGGAGGGGAUCCUUUUUAGAUUAUUGUAUAUCAAAAUAAAAUGGCAAAAGCAAUUUUCUCUCAUGGGAAUGAGACUUAACAAAACCUCAUCUCUUAUUUCCGUACUAUGCCCUUCCUUCCUCGUUCCCUCCCUUCUUUCCUCUCUCCUUUUUUUCCUUCCUCCCUUCCUCCCUCCCUUCCUUCCUUCCUUCCUUCAAUUCAUGUAAACAUGAUUUAAUAUAAAUCUAAAGAAAACAAAUUGAGGUUCUAAUACACACAUAUAUACAUAUAGAAAGUGAACACAAAGAUAAAUCAUGGCCUCAAAUAGCACAUUUUUAUCACAGAAAAUACUUCAUUUACCUAAUAAACAUAUUUCUGUACCAGUGUAUACAUUGAACAACAUUGGCAUAGAUACGCUGCACAGAAACAAUUAAUCUUUAGCCCUGUUGAGAGAUGUGCCAAAUAUGCAAGAACAUUCAUAAUUAAAUUAGGGAAGAUGUAACCCAAAAUUGAUAGCUGAGGAAAAGGUAGUAACGCAAACAAUGUAAGCAGGACACCGGGCAUUGCUGAACCUGUGCUCUUCGUGACAUUCCCUGGACACGCUUCAUCUUGUUUCUGUCCUCCCUGUGUUUUAAUCUAUUACUGCUCACUUAUGAAACUUAUGAAAUUCUGGCUUUCUUGUAGCCAGACCCAACUUUUAAAUUUCCUGCUACAUUUGAGUUUUGGGAGUUCUUUACAGCAAGUGGCAGAACAGCUGUUUCAGAGACUGUUAUUCUGAAGCAGACA